RNAcentral lists this ribosomal RNA (429 nucleotides) under bacterium. RNAcentral's name for it is "partial 16S ribosomal RNA". It matches the Rfam family "Bacterial small subunit ribosomal RNA", at positions 355 to 776 of the family's 1533-position model. The record is from RNAcentral.
UGGGGAAUAUUGCACAAUGGGCGCAAGCCUGAUGCAGCCAUGCCGCGUGUAUGAAGAAGGCCUUCGGGUUGUAAAGUACUUUCAGCGGGGAGGAAGGGAGUAAAGUUAAUACCUUUGCUCAUUGACGUUACCCGCAGAAGAAGCACCGGCUAACUCCGUGCCAGCAGCCGCGGUAAUACGGAGGGUGCAAGCGUUAAUCGGAAUUACUGGGCGUAAAGCGCACGCAGGCGGUUUGUUAAGUCAGAUGUGAAAUCCCCGGGCUCAACCUAGGAACUGCAUCUGAUACUGGCAAGCUUGAGUCUCGUAGAGGGGGGUAGAAUUCCAGGUGUAGCGGUGAAAUGCGUAGAGAUCUGGAGGAAUACCGGUGGCGAAGGCGGCCCCCUGGACGAAGACUGACGCUUAGGUGCGAAAGCGUGGGGAGCAAACAGG